Molecule: ribosomal RNA, 253 nt
Filed under: uncultured bacterium
Lineage: Bacteria
Description: partial 16S ribosomal RNA
Rfam family: Bacterial small subunit ribosomal RNA
Source: RNAcentral
UACAGAGGGGGCAAGCGUUGUUCGGAAUUACUGGGCGUAAAGGGCGCGUAGGCGGCCUGUUAAGUCGAACGUGAAAUCCCCGGGCUCAACCCGGGAACUGCGUCCGAUACUGGCAGGCUUGAAUCCGGGAGAGGGAUGCGGAAUUCCAGGUGUAGCGGUGAAAUGCGCAGAUAUCAGGAGGAACACCGAUGGCGAAGGCAGUUCUCUGGGCCGUAACUGACGCUGAGGAGCGAAAGCGUGGGGAGCGAACAGG